This 465-nucleotide ribosomal RNA is filed under the name uncultured bacterium. RNAcentral describes it as "partial 16S ribosomal RNA". It matches the Rfam family "Bacterial small subunit ribosomal RNA", at positions 28 to 507 of the family's 1533-position model. The record is from RNAcentral.
GACGAACGCUGGCGGCGUGCUUAACACAUGCAAGUCGAACGGAAAGGCCCCUUUGGGGGUACUCGAGUGGCGAACGGGUGAGUAACACGUGAGUAACCUGCCCUUGACUUCGGGAUAACUUCAGGAAACUGGGGCUAAUACCGGAUAGGAAUCCUUGCUGCAUGGUGGGGGUUGGAAAGCUUCGGCGGUUUUGGAUGGACUCGCGGCUUAUCAGCUUGUUGGUGGGGUAGUGGCUUACCAAGGCUUUGACGGGUAGCCGGCCUGAGAGGGCGACCGGCCACAUUGGGACUGAGAUACGACCCAGACUCCUACGGGAGGCAGCAGUGGGGAAUAUUGCACAAUGGGCGGAAGCCUGAUGCAGCAACGCCGCGUGCGGGAGGACGGCCUUCGGGUUGUAAACCGCUUUCAGCAGGGGCGAAGCUUGUGGUGACGGUACCUGCAGAAGAAGCACCGGCUAACUACGUG